Molecule: RNA transcript, 4647 nt
Organism: Monopterus albus (swamp eel)
Lineage: Eukaryota; Metazoa; Chordata; Actinopteri; Synbranchiformes; Synbranchidae
Gene: atg9b
Gene name: autophagy related 9B
Exons: 14
Source: RefSeq, a predicted model, not a curated record
CUUAAGGAUGUGAAGCACAAUGGCCAACUUUGAAGCUUAUCAGGAAUAUCAGAGAAUUGAGGAUUUCGAGGAGGACUCGCCACCAGGGGAGGAAGACUUACUGGUGCAUGUGCCCGAAGGCCUGAAAGACUCAUGGCACCAUAUCAAGAACCUGGAUAACUUCUUCACAAGGAUCUAUCAUUUUCAUCAGAAAAAUGGCUUUGCUUGUAUGAUGUUGUCAGAGUUCUUUGAACUUGUUCAGUUUUUGUUUGUUGUCACAUUCACGACGUUCCUUGUCAACUGUGUGGAGUAUGAUGUCCUGUUUGCCAAUCAAGCAGUCAAUCACACCGGAACAGGCCAGAAUCCCUUGGACAGGAACAAAGUCACUCUUCCCGAUGCCAUCUUACCUAGCCAGCAGUGCACUCGGAGGAUUAAAGAAAACAGCUGGAUUAUAUUUCUUCUCAUCAUGGCAGCCAUUUUCUGGAUCUAUCGACUUGUGAAGGUCUUCUGCAAUGUUCUGAGCUAUUGGGAAAUCAGGCAGUUCUACAUCAAAGCACUGAAGAUCGGAAUGGAUGAACUAUGCAACUUCACAUGGCAGGAGGUCCAGGACCGACUCAUCAGCCUGCAGCGAGAACAGCAAAUGUGCAUACACAAGAAAGAGCUGACAGAACUCGACAUCUAUCACCGCAUCCUGCGCUUCAAGAACUACAUGGUGGCCAUGAUAAACAAAUCACUGCUGCCAGUACAGCUACACUUCCCCCUGCUGGGCAAUGUGGUGUUCCUCACCCAGGGCCUCAAGUACAACUUUGAGCUCAUCCUCUUUUGGGGUCCUGGCUCUCUGUUUCAGAAUAAGUGGAACCUGCACCCCAAGUACAAGCGCAGUGGGAACCGCCUAGAGCUUGCCCAGCAGCUUAGUAGAGUCAUCCUCCUGAUGGGUUUAGCCAAUUUGCUGCUGUGCCCCUUCAUCCUAGUGUGGCAGGUACUCUAUGCUUUUUUUAGCUAUACAGAAGUGAUCCGCAGAGAACCUGGAAGCCUGGGUGCACGACGCUGGUCCCUGUAUGGUCGUCUCUACCUGCGACACUUCAAUGAGCUGGACCAUGAGCUGUAUGGGCGUUUAGGUCGUGCCUACAAACCCACUUCCAAAUACAUGAACUCCUUUACAUCACCACUGCUGACUGUGCUUGCAAAGAACAUUGCGUUCUUCUCAGGCUCAGUGUUGGCUGUUCUCAUUGCACUGACAGUAUAUGAUGAGGACGUUCUCACAGUGCAGCACAUUCUGACUGCAAUCACUGUGCUGGGGGUAGUUAUUACCAUUGCUAGGUCAUUCAUCCCAGAUGAGCAUAUGGUGUGGUGUCCAGAACAGCUGCUGCAGUGCAUGCUGGCACACAUUCACUACAUGCCAGAUCACUGGAGGGGCAAUGCUAACAAGAGCGAGACCCGUGACGAGGUGGCGCAGCUGCUCCAGUACAAAGCGGUUUUUAUCCUAGAGGAGUUGCUCAGUCCUAUCGUCACACCCUUCAUUCUCAUCUUCCUCCUGAGAAACAAGUCUCUAGAGAUAAUUGACUUCUUCAGGAACUUUACUGUGGAGGUGGUUGGAGUUGGAGACAUAUGCUCCUUUGCACAAAUGGACAUUAGACGCCAUGGAAACCCAACAUGGCUGUCAGAGGGCCAAACAGAGGCUUCUGUGUACCAGCAGGCUGAGAACGGCAAGACAGAGUUGUCCCUCAUGCAUUUCACCAUUAAGAAUCCACGCUGGCAGCCACCACAGGAGAGCUCAGUGUUUAUCAGCCAUUUAAAAGAGAAGGUGCAGCAUGAUGCACAGGGCGGCCCCUCCACCCAACUGUUGCUCUCUGAGGCUCCUCUCUGCACUUCACUGCAGUCUAAUGAGUCUGCCACUGGGCCUGAUAAUUUGUUGGCCAGUGUCUUGGCCCAUCCCAUUCUAACUGCAUCUGGACUACAAGGGCGAGAACAUCGCUUCAUCCCACCAAGCACUGCUGCUUCUGCUGCUGCCAGCGUCCUGGCUUCAUUGUCCACCUCCCAGCUUGCACCUACCAGCCGUGGCCACUCGCAUGGUCUCCUGCCCUCCUCCAUCCACCCUGAGAGCACCAUGUACCGCAGUGAUCGCACCAUCAUUGACAGUAUGUCUAACAGUGACUCUCGCAUCCGGAGUAAUGCACUGCACUCAGAGUUUGCCUCUGCGGAGAUGAGCCUCCAUGCCAUCUACAUGCACGAGCUCCACCAGCAGAGCUCCCACCCACAGAGAACUUCAGGGCAGUGGCAGAAUGCAGUGCCAAUGAGAGAUAUGCGAACAAACACUGGCUUCCAGGCUCAUAGCGGCCUUGGUUCCAGCAUGUCCACUCCUGUCCACCUCGGCGGGUGGAGAGAAGAGGAAGAGGGGGAGGGUGAAGAUGAGCAGAAGAUCAACAGUGGAUCUACUCCAAAGCAGGGCACAGGGAGUAGUAGCUGAAGUGCCUUAUAUCAUAAGGUGUAUUCUCAUCUCUCUUUAAACUCUAAGAUGACACUUGUCCAUGGUCUAUGCUUUGUGGUCCUGUAUUUUGUGACAUACUUGUUUGUAUCCUACAAUGGAUACAUUGACAUGAUAACUUCUCUUCUUUGUUUUUUAGUGUUUACAUUUUAUUUUCUUCGCUGAACAUUGUGGCCUUAGAUGAUCUUCAUGAAGAAUUUAGCAUGGACCUUUAAAACAUCAUUCAGCAUUUGUUGUUGUGCAUGGUUAUCUCUUGCUCAGCAGAUGUUGAUCAGGAAUUGAUAUCCCCGGAGUGAUGUGGAGGAAAACAUAUUUUCAGUGUAAGAGCAUGAAGAGACAAAAGCCUUUCCAGAGUGAGCACCACUUUUUAGUUUUAGGAGUAUUUAUUACUUGGUUUCCCACAGAUAUUUAAUUGAUGUGUAUAUAUAUGUAUUAUUUAUUUGAAAAACAUUUGAUUUAUGAUAAUCUCAUUAAUAAAAGAAAUGGCGUCCCCCUCCUCAUAGCCCACUAAAACUAGUUUCAAGAACAAUUUAUGAUUUUUGAAUUUUUUUUUUUUUAUUGCAAAAAACUUCAAAGCUGCAUGAUGUUGAAUGUGAUUGACACUUAAAAUAACCUGGUUCUAAACCUGCUUGUUGAUUCAGUGAAAUAUCUAGCUAGCCACUUUUGAAACAGACCACACUAAUAUAGAUCUCAUCCUCCGCUACUGCAAGACUUUAGAGAGUACAAAUGUGCUUUGUCCUCUGUAUUUAGAAAUGCCGGGUGUGUGUAUCUGUGGAACAGAUGCCUGACACUUGCAUAAUUAUGCUAACAUGAAUUCAGAAUUUUGCACUGACGGAAAAGAACAUUUUUUUUAAAGUGUGUGUAUAAACUGUAUAUACAGUACUUGCAUCAGUUUCACUGAAAAGGACACUGAAUCAGUUUCCAUCCUAACUGACCUCUUUUCAGUUUUUGUAUAUAAGCGUAGCAUCAAAACAUACUGUAUUGUUACUGUCCACAGCAGACAUCAGGAAACACUGUGGCCAUUCACAUAUGAUUGCUCUUACCUCUGGUCUGUUCACCCUGUAGGGGGUGAUGUGUGUUUCUACCCCACUCUUUAGCGUGCUUACCUGAGUUUUGUUGUCACUGUUCGUUUGGUACAUCUUACAAAUGGCUAUGAGUUUAUGUCAGAGAGAUACAGGAGCUCGGCUUUGAGCGCAGUCUCUCACAUUUACACCCCACUGUUGUGUUUGUCAUUUUAUUUUAAGCAGUGCCUUAGUUUUAAGGAUUAUUUGCUGUUUUUAAGAAGCCACUUCAUGUAAACCAUCUGAUUUAUUUUCACAGUUUUAGCAGCACAUACUAUGUUCAGUAUUUUUGUUUGGCAAGUCAUUGUGUAUAGCAUCAAAUACGUAGUGAAACCGUGUAUUGUAAGAUGAGUUACAAACUGACGUUGUGUCAGUCUUGCACUGUAUUGAAAAUCUUAAAGAAGCAGGAGUAUGCCUUGUAAUAGGUGGUGUCAUCAUGGCCAAUCCUCUCAUCAUACAAUGGUUUCUUAUCCACUGUACACCAGUCUGAGAAUCACAGUGACUGGUACAAGGUGCUAAGUUUUCACCCUUAAGUGUUGAAUAUGUUUAAAUGUGCGUGUGUGUUUUUCUUACAUAGACGUGUCUGUUUUGUUCUGUAAAUUAAGAAACACUAGCUGAAAAGUGAAACAUGCCAAAAGACCUUGUUUUCAGCACUGCUUUACAAUAUGUGUUGUUUUCUGUGAGUGGGUAGAGAGAAAAAUAAAUAUUAUUUUGAGUGUAUUUAACCAUUUUCCCGUGUGGUUAAUUUUGUGAUGUUUGUUUUAAAUUUAAAACAAAUUUUCUGUCGGUUUUAUAAUACUGUUUGUAUUGAUUUACCUACUAAUGCUAAGUUGUUGCAAGUGAUCACCCUUAUCCUGUGAUGAAACAUUUCUAUCCUGAUGAGAGUGACCUCUUCUAGGAUAACAUUCAUAGGGCACAAGGGAUCACUGAAUAUCUUUUGGAAGAACGGAGUCAAUCCCUCCAGUAGAGUUCAGAGACUGAAGCUGUCCUGGUGGAACAUGGUGUCCUUACUAAGACACUUGGUUUUUUUUUUUUCUUUAUCUUGUCUGCAUGUGACACUGUUAUUCUGGUCUUGAUGGUGGCCUUUUUUAAACUAAAGAGGCAAACUUUUAUCUUCUAACA